This 400-nucleotide ribosomal RNA is filed under the name uncultured bacterium. Its description in RNAcentral is "bacterial SSU rRNA". It matches the Rfam family "Bacterial small subunit ribosomal RNA", at positions 28 to 430 of the family's 1533-position model. The record is from RNAcentral.
GACGAACGCUGGCGGCGUGCUUAACACAUGCAAGUCGAGCGGUAAGGCCCUUUCGGGGGUACGACGAGCGGCGAACGGGUGAGUAACACGUGGGUGACCUGCCUUUAGCUCUGGGAUAAGCCUGGGAAACCGGGUCUAAUACCGGAUAUGACUCCGCGGCGCAUGUUGUGGGGUGGAAAGCCUUGUGCGGCUGGAGAUGGGCCCGCGGCCUAUCAGCUUGUUGGUGGGGUGAUGGCCUACCAAGGCGACGACGGGUAGCCGGCCUGAGAGGGCGACCGGCCACACUGGGACUGAGACACGGCCCAGACUCCUACGGGAGGCAGCAGUGGGGAAUCUUGCGCAAUGGGCGAAAGCCUGACGCAGCGACGCCGCGUGAGGGAUGACGGCCUCGGUUGUAACU